RNAcentral lists this ribosomal RNA (439 nucleotides) under uncultured bacterium. RNAcentral describes it as "partial 16S ribosomal RNA". It matches the Rfam family "Bacterial small subunit ribosomal RNA", at positions 339 to 795 of the family's 1533-position model. The record is from RNAcentral.
CUACGGGGCGCAGCAGUGAGGAAUAUUGCACAAUGGGGGGAACCCUGAUGCAGCAACGCCGCGUGGAGGAUGACGCAUUUCGGUGUGUAAACUCCUUUUAUAUGUCAAGAAAAUGACGGUAGCAUAUGAAUAAGCACCGGCUAACUCCGUGCCAGCAGCCGCGGUAAUACGGAGGGUGCAAGCGUUACUCGGAAUCACUGGGCGUAAAGGACGCGUAGGCGGGUUGGAAAGUCAGGUGUGAAAUCCUACAGCUUAACUGUAGAACUGCACUUGAAACUUCUAAUCUAGAGUAUGGGAGGGGGAGAUGGAAUUAGUGGUGUAGGGGUAAGAUCCGUAGAUAUCACUAGGAAUACCUAAAGCGAAGGCGAUCUCCUGGAACAUUACUGACGCUAGGGCGUGAAAGCGUGGGGAGCAAACAGGAUUAGAUACCCUAGUAGUC